Molecule: ribosomal RNA, 460 nt
Filed under: uncultured bacterium
Lineage: Bacteria
Description: partial 16S ribosomal RNA
Rfam family: Bacterial small subunit ribosomal RNA
Source: RNAcentral
CCUACGGGUGGCUGCAGUGAGGAAUAUUGGUCAAUGGCCGGAAGCCUGAACCAGCCAAGCCGCGUGAAGGACGAAGGUGCCAAGCAUUGUAAACUUCUUUUGUCAAGGGACAACAUCAUGCUCGAGAGCCUGACCGAGGGUACCUUAAGAAUAAGCAUCGGCUAACUCCGUGCCAGCAGCCGCGGUAAUACGGAGGACGCGAGCGUUAUCCGGAUUUAUUGGGGUUAAAGGGUGCGUAGGCGGACUGUUACGUCAGUUGUGAAAGUUUGGGGCUCAAACGUAAAAUUGCAGUUGAUACUGGCAGCCUUGAGUACAGUAGAGGCAGGCGGAAUUCGUGGUGUAGCGGUGAAAUGCUUAGAUAUCACGAAGAACCCCGAUUGCGAAGGCAGCCUGCUGGACUGUAACUGACGCUGAUGCUCGAAGGUGUGGGUAUCAAACAGGAUUAGAUACCCUUGUAGUC